UGGGUAACCUGCCUCAAAGAGGGGAAUAGCCUCCCAAAAGGGAGAUUAAUACCGCAUAAUAUGUUUUAGUCGCAUGACUUAAACAUCAAAGGAUUUUCUUUUAGGAAUUCUACUUUGAGAUGGACCCGCGGCGCAUUAGCUAGUUGGUGAGGUAACGGCUCACCAAGGCAACGAUGCGUAGCCGACCUGAGAGGGUGAUCGGCCACAUUGGAACUGAGACACGGUCCAGACUCCGUAGGGACGG
This 244-nucleotide ribosomal RNA is filed under the name uncultured bacterium. Its description in RNAcentral is "partial 16S ribosomal RNA". It matches the Rfam family "Bacterial small subunit ribosomal RNA", at positions 118 to 348 of the family's 1533-position model. The record is from RNAcentral.